CAUACCUCUGUUACCUACUUAUUCCUCAAAACCACCAGAUGAGAUAUUUAGUGUCUUUUUGAAGGUGAAGAAGCUGAACAAUAGAGCAGCGUUAACUGGCCUAAGGCUACACAAUAAGGCGGAAUAUAUUUCCAUACUCCAUUUUUUCAAGGACAUUGGUAAGUAAGUUCUUUUGGAUACGCAACUAUAAGGUUUUUUUGUUUUUGCGUUUUGUUAGUUUUCAUCUUUCAACAAGAGUCACUAGCCCAGAACAUUUUUUUUUUCAUUGUAAAAAUAACAGAACCGCAUUUGAAAAUUUGCAAAAUAAAAUAAAAUGCAUCCCAUGAUCAUGCAAAUACAAUCUUUCCCCCAUUAUUACUUUUAUAUAAUUCCUUCUAGUCUCUUUUUUCACCCUGCUAAUCCACUUAAUAGGCCGAAAUUGAUAAGCCAAAGAACAGGUAGGGUAGUAAAUAUAACACUAGGUAGCUGGAGGGGGUAAAGAAUCUCAUACUCCUGGCUAACAAAGGAGAUAAGUCAUUUACUAUUGCUAUAAUACCCCAGAGCAAUUUAAGAGGGUGGCUAACUUUAAGCAUUGGGACUACAGAUUCCUAACCACCUGCCGAUUUGAUUCUGGGGACUGUACUCUAAUCGCAGGGGAUUAUGCCUCGUGGAAAUCUCUUCAGGAGAUCAGACACCUCAGAAACCAGGUUCAGGCAGACUUCCUUUGCCGAAUAAUGCCUGUGAGUUUAUCUCCUCUCCUUGCCCGCACGAACGGUUUUGCUUCUCCAGGACUCCGGGGUCUGAGGCCUAACAGCCUGUUAAAGGGUGGAUGCGAUGGGCAACCAGGCAAUUCUGGCGUACUUCUCGCCCUAGAGCCUAUAGUCGGGUCCCGCAGUUGUCGCCACCGCGCUGCGCCCAUGCUCGACGUCGACGCAGACUCCUCAGCGCUCUGGGCGCCACAAAAUGCGCCGCUCCCUCUGAGCUGACUUUCCCGAGAGGGCGGAGAGACCGUGCGGCGAGAAAGGCCCGAAGCCAACGCGGACGCCGAACACUUCCCAGCAGGCUGUGCGCAAGCCUACAACUCCCAUUAUGCUCCACCGGGGAACAGCGCGGCUCCUCGCUGGGAGGCGGCAGUUCACCCCUUCAACCUCGCUUACACUUCUUCAAUACUGCUCGCUAUGCCUCUGGCAUUUGGGGAGCUCUUCAGUCCCUUAACGGGAGCACGGCGGCUGACGCGCUGAGACCUGAGGAGGCGUGGCUCCGCACCGGAAAAACCUCCGGUUGCCCGGGGAACGCCACGCACCACGGCGCCUGACCCGCCACUGAUGCUUGGGCUGAGCCAGAGGCUACCCCUUCACCCAACUUGCGGAGGCGGCUUUGCUCAGGCCCAGGAAUCCUUCCUGUGGAGGCCUAGAGAGGAAGGCUGAGGGACGCCCGGACCAUAUUCCCAUUGCAGAGAGGGAUACGAGCGAGUGUGUCCAUUCCUGUUCUUCAGCAGCUCCCGGGCCCGCAGGACUAAUCUCAAAGACCAGCUGGUUUGUAAAUACUUGACUCACAUUAUGGGAUUGCUAGACAGACUUUCAGGCUUGCUUGGCCUGAGGAAGAAGGAGGUUCAUGUUUUGUGCCUUGGGCUGGAUAACAGUGGCAAAACAACAAUCAUUAAUAAACUUAAACCUUCAAACGCUCAAUCUCAAGAUAUAGUUCCAACAAUAGGAUUCAGCAUAGAGAAAUUCAAAUCGUCCAGUUUGUCUUUUACAGUGUUUGAUAUGUCAGGUCAAGGAAGAUACAGAAAUCUCUGGGAACACUAUUAUAAAGAAGGACAAGCCAUUAUUUUUGUCAUUGAUAGUAGUGAUAGAUUAAGAAUGGUUGUGGCCAAAGAAGAACUUGAUACUCUUCUGAAUCAUCCAGAUAUUAAGCACCGCCGAAUACCAAUUUUAUUCUUUGCAAACAAAAUGGAUCUUAGAGAUGCAGUGACAUCUGUAAAAGUGUCUCAAUUGCUGUGUUUAGAGAACAUCAAAGAUAAACCAUGGCAUAUUUGUGCUAGUGAUGCCAUAAAAGGAGAAGGAUUGCAAGAAGGUGUAGACUGGCUUCAAGAAGACACUGGCAACGGGUAGGAGACAGCAAGUCAACUUUGAGGAGUCAGACCAGACUAAGAGAAAAGACCUAAAGAUCAGAUCCAGGCUGUGAAGACAUGAAAAGAUAGUAUUCGGAAACCUCAACAAUUUUCAAUUCAAGGAAUAUAUAUUAAGGCAAACUGAAUACUUUAAAUUUUUUGAAAGUUUUUACAUCUAAGAAUACUUGAUAAUCUUCUGCUUAUAUUUAUGGACUCUGAAUGAGGUUUUUAAGAACAUAAGACUUCAGGUAUGCUAAUCUGGCCAUUAAUUAUAUAAAAACUAAAUGUUUCCUGAAGGGCUCCCUCCCCAGAAUUAUCAACUUCUUGAAAGGUCUACAUUUGAUUGUAAUAAGAAUGUGUAAAGUCAGAGUUAUCUCAGUAUCUCAUCUUGAUUUAUGAUAUCUUUAAUGCAUUUUAUUUUUUUAAUUGUCUUCUAAAAACUUAGCUUAUGAUAUAACUUUGUAGUAGGAUUAUGCUUGUGAAAAAGAACUUUUAAAUAUUUAUAAGGGACCAUGGGUAAUUAAUAUAUAUUGAAGUUUUGCUAUAUGUCACCAUCAAUAAAACAUAAAAUGUAAUAUACAAACUAGUGUGCUUUAUAUGCUGAAAAGAAUAACGCUGUGUUAAUAUGGUGUUUGGUAUUUUACUGUCAAACAUUUGUAAAUUACCUGAGUCCAAGUUAAGCUGAAUUUAUUUAUUCAGUGAAUAAAACACUGAAUAAAUAAAUGAAACAUCUCUGUACCUAUACUAGUUUGGCAUUGUCCUAGGCAAUGGUGAUACAAGGUAAACAAAACAUAUUCCUUAUCCUCAGAGAACUUAAAAUUUAAUGAGGGAGAAUUUGAGAAUCUUUUCAUACAGAGUAUCUAAUUUUAUUUCAUUGGCUGACUGAAAAUAUUGCAUUUUAAGAUUAAGAGGUAUAAAAAUGAAUUAAUGUGAUUCUUCAUAAUUAUUACAACUGACUUAUUCUUUCUUCCUUUAAAAUGUCUCCAGUUUACUGCAGUACUUUGUUAAAAUAGACUGUGACUCACCAACUGUGUUUUUCCUGGGCAUAAACUGCUACAAAAAUGUUUUUUAGAAUUUUAAACAUAUCUCUGCCAUCUACUGUAUGCAAAUUGUGUUACUUCUCACAACUUAGAGACUGCUUAUAAUUGUAAACUCUAAAUAGAAGCUUUCAUUUUUAAUUAAUCACUGGGAAACAGUGGAUAGAGCAAUGGUGUAAAUUCUGAAAAUAUUACAUAUAAAGAAAAACUGUAAUAUAUAAUGUGUAACAUCAUAAAUAUCCUUAGGUGUGAAAAUGAUGAAAACAGAAGACAAAAGGUAAGUGAGUAAUAAAGAUGUAUUAUGAUAACUACAGUAGUGGUAUGUUUCACAGAGAUUUGAAUAAAAUAUUUUUAAAACUUCAGUAAAAGUUCUAUAAUUCAGUUUCUCUUAGUCCAGAAAUCCCAGUGCUUUCGAAUUUGGCACAUUGAAAGUCAUCCAGAAUAUUCCAGUGAUCCAGCAUUUUAGCUAGCUUGCCAGCCUCUCAUAAAUUGUUUUGAUGAAGAUACAAAGUAAGUCUCAUUAAUCUAGAGGUGCCUCAAAUAUAAAAAAGACAUGAACAUGAAAACACUGUAAUUCAACAAAAAAACCCUAAUAUGCUAUAACUAUUUUAGGAGGAUGGAGAAAGGGGUGUUUUAAGAGAAUUCAAAUCCUCAUCUACCGUAAGGUAACAAUAACAAUGAUAAAAGCUAUCACUAUAUUUUGAGCAAGAUAUUAUUACAUGUAUGGGAUUUUGCAUCAUAUAAUCCUCAUAAUAGCCUUAUGUAGUAGAUUCUAGUGUUUGUUUUAUAGACAAGGAAACUGAGGCCUAAAAAAGGUUGUUUAUGGUCACAGAGCUAGUAAAUGGUGGUACUGGGAUUCAGAACCAAACAGUCUGUUUAAAAUGGAUGAUUCAAGAGCUAAGAGUAUUACUGAUUUUAGAAAUAUAGAGAUAUCUGCCAUAAGAAUAGCUAAAAGGAUGGGAAAAAUCUCUCACUGGGGUGGGAGACCAGGAUUGGGGUGCUGGAGGUCAGGGACAAGGGACUACUGUUUUCUUCUUUUUGCUUGUUUUAAGUCUAUUAACACUUCAAACUUUAAACUCUGGACAAGAAUGACUAUGAUAAAAAUAAUUCUUGAAAUUAUGUUGAUUUGUUGAUUCUAAAUUAGUAUUCCACAAACUACAGUCAUUUACACCUAUGCAAAUAUGUAGAAGAGAGUACUAAAUGCUUCCUUUGUUUUCAUGAUCUCCAGAUCUAGUUUAUAGUCUAUAAACAUCCAUUCAUACUCUACAUUUUCAUGUAAAGAUUAUGUAGAAGCAAGUUGGGCUACAGUGGUCACAGCAUGCCAUGUGUGCAUACACUGAGGUUAUUGCAUUUGUAUUUAACAUAUUAUGCAAUUAAAAUUUAUUGCAUUAAAGCUCAAGCAAGUGUUUUUUUAUGUUUAGACAUCACUGUGUUAACAAAGUUUAGUUCAUUAAGCUCCACAUUUCAAUGUGACACCUCAUAAAAUGUUCAAAAGUUAGCCUAUUGUAUGUUUUGCAUUUAAAUAUUUAUAAUGUGGCCCUCUUCAGCCUGUGCCUUAUAAAUCACAAAAGAGCUGAGUUGUAUAUAUUUUUCAUUUAUAGGUCGUCUGCUAAAAAUUAUGAAUUGCCUUCUGAUUACUUAUUUUUUUCCCACCAUAUUGUGAUUUCCAUAAAUAUAUGUAGUUACUCUAGAGAAAACUUAAGGCAAAUACAUCCUGCAUGUAGCUCUGGUACAUUAAAAUACAUUAAAAAUGAUUUGCUUUCUGAUUUUUCCUUCUUGCUUCUUAGUUAAAAAAUAAAUAAAACCGAUAUUAAAUGCUCACUUAAAUGGAUGUUAUAAUAGGUUUGUUCAUUUCUGUGACUGGAAGGAAAUACUUUGAGAAAUGGUUAUUGUGUUUAAUUAAAUGUUUCAAGUAACUUAUUUAUUACAUUUUUAUUGUGAAUCUUUCUUAUUAAGGAUGUUCCUUCUGGGAUUUACAAGGAACUGCCUCAGGACCAUUACUGAUUCUUCCCUCUGAUCAUUCGAUUUUAAUGCCACACUUGGCAGCUUCAUGAACAUAUAGUAUUAAGCUUUUCUCUGGUGAUUUAGAAUAAACCAAAAAGGAAAAAUUUAAUUCUUCACCAAAUUUCAAGUCACCAAGUAAUGCUAGAAGUCAUAGAGGAAUAGGAGGUACUUUGAAAAUAAAAUUUGGUUAGAAAUAUAGUAGAAAUAAUAAACAUUUUUGUGGGUUUUACUAUGUGCCAGGU
Molecule: RNA transcript, 5375 nt
Organism: Aethalodelphis obliquidens (Pacific white-sided dolphin)
Lineage: Eukaryota; Metazoa; Chordata; Mammalia; Artiodactyla; Delphinidae
Gene: ARL6
Gene name: ARF like GTPase 6
Exons: 9
Source: RefSeq, a predicted model, not a curated record